AGAUUCUUAAAGGAAUUGGCGGGAGCGCACAAGCGGAGGAACAUGUGGUUUAAUUCGAUGAUACGCGAGGAACCUUACCCGGGCUUGAAAUGCGGCGGACCGGCAGAGAGAUCUGCCUUCCCUUCGGGGCCGCCGUGUAGGUGCUGCAUGGUUGUCGUCAGCUCGUGCCGUGAGGUGUCGGCUUAAGUGCCAUAACGAGCGCAACCCUCAUCAUUAGUUACUAACAGGUCAUGCUGAGGACUCUAGUGAGACUGCCAUCGUAGGAUGCGAGGAAGGUGGGGAUGACGUCAAAUCAGCACGGCCCUUACGUCCGGGGCGACACACGUGUUACAAUGGGUGGUACAAAGGGCAGCUACCUGGCGACAGGAUGCUAAUCUCCAAAACCACUCUCAGUUCGGAUCGGAGUCUGCAACUCGACUCCGUGAAGCUGGAUUCGCUAGUAAUCGCGCAUCAGCCACGGCGCGGUGAAUACGUUCCCGGCGCCCUUGCACAACCGCCCGAAUCUGUCCCCGCU
RNAcentral lists this ribosomal RNA (514 nucleotides) under Porphyromonas gingivalis. Its description in RNAcentral is "bacterial SSU rRNA". It matches the Rfam family "Bacterial small subunit ribosomal RNA", at positions 895 to 1387 of the family's 1533-position model. Lineage: Bacteria; Pseudomonadati; Bacteroidota; Bacteroidia; Bacteroidales; Porphyromonadaceae. The record is from RNAcentral.